Molecule: transfer RNA, 77 nt
Filed under: Candidatus Rokubacteria bacterium 13_1_40CM_2_68_13
Lineage: Bacteria; Candidatus Rokuibacteriota
Also listed under: 1 other name
Description: tRNA-Trp
Rfam family: tRNA
About the family: Transfer RNA (tRNA) molecules are approximately 80 nucleotides in length.
Source: RNAcentral
GGGUCAGUAGCUCGAACGGCUAGAGCACCGGACUCCAAAUCCGGGGGUUGCAGGUUCGAAUCCUGCCUGACCCGCGA